GAUGAACGCUGGCGGCGUGCCUAAUACAUGCAAGUCGAGCGAACAGAUGAGGAGCUUGCUCCUCUGACUUUAUCGGCGGACGGGUGAGUAACACGUGGAUAACCUACCUAUAAGACUGGGAUAACUUCGGGAAACCGGAGCUAAUACCGGAUAAUAUAUUGAACCUCAUGGUUCAAUAGUGAAAGACGGUUUUGCUGUCACUUAUAGAUGGAUCCGCGCCGCAUUAGCUAGUUGGUAAGGUAACGGCUUACCAAGGCAACGAUGCGUAGCCGACCUGAGAGGGUGAUCGACCACACUGGAACUGGGACAGGGUCCAGACUCCGACGGGAGGCAGCAGUAGGGAAUCUUACGCAAUGGGCGAAAGCCUGACGGAGCAACGCCGCGGGAGUGAUGAAGGACUUAGGAUCGUAAAACUCUGUUAUUAGGGAAGAACAAAUGUGUAAGUAACUAUGCACGUCUUGACGGUACCUAAUCAGAAAGCCACGGCUAACUACGUG
Molecule: ribosomal RNA, 497 nt
Filed under: uncultured bacterium
Lineage: Bacteria
Description: partial 16S ribosomal RNA
Rfam family: Bacterial small subunit ribosomal RNA
Source: RNAcentral